CCAAGCAAGGAAGAGAGAGAAAGAGAGGAAGAACAAAGGGAAAAACAAGAAAACCUAGGUGGAAAAUUCAAAGAAAAAGUGAAGAAAUCAAGGAAACAAGCUAGGUAAGUUAGAAUUUCUUUAGUUCUCCUUAAUACCUAGCUUACCCAUGCUUUUGUUCUUGAUUUUCAUGGUUGAAUAUUGAGUUAUUACGAUGAAUUCAAUUCUGAAAAAUGGGUUAAGAGAGAGAAAAUUGUUAGAUUAAUUUGGUUUUAAGUUAUGUUAGUGUUUUAAGUUAGUUUAGCAUAUGUAGAAACAAAACAACAAGAAAAGAAUUUAUUUUCUCCCACAACCAUUAAUGGUCAAAUUUGUCAUAUGUUGAGUGAGGAUGAAUUUGAUUUUCAUUUUAGGAGAAUUGGUUAAGAAAUGAUGAAUUAUGAGCCUAGAAAAAUAGUGAGAAUUUUCGGAGCAAAAAUAUGAAUUUUUACCCACUAGGGGUAUUUUCGUAAUUUGCUAUCGAGACUGAUAAAUUGAAUCUCAUUCACAGUCAUGGAGGUAAUUUAGUUAUAAUUGGAGUGUAGAAAGUGAGAAUAAUUGAUUUGGAGUUAAAUUUAAGAUAAUAGGCCGAAUUAGGUCAACACCGCAUUUAAGCGAUAGUCGAAUAAGUUGUAUAUCAUAUCAUACAUAUAUACCGAGCCUGAAUUGAUUUUAUAAUGGUCAAGCAUUGAUGUCAUGAAUUAUGUAUUAUACAUUGUGGAUAGGUGGUGAGCAAAGUACACUGGUAAAAGUAUAGAAAUUGUGCUUGGAGACUGGGAUUAGGAGUACAUCGACUCCUAGAACAGUGAGUGAACUUAUUAUCGUCUUAAUUAUCUGGAGUAGUUUUAUACAAUUGUGUGAUUUUAUGGAAAAUGGGUUUAAAUGGUAAAUUGCUAUGUUUUAAGAGAAAUUACGAUUUUAUAAAGUGAUUUUAUAAAUUUUCUAGAAAAAUCGAAUACUGGUUUGGAAAAUAGAGUAAUUGGAGACUGCCUGCUUGUGUUGUAAAUUUAUGGUUUUAAAUUGAAUGGCUUAUGAUAAUAUAUGAGCAUGAAUGGCUAAACUGAUUUUGGUGUUAUAAUUAUUUAUACUGUGUAUUCAGCCUUGAGAGGCUAGGUUGCGAUAAAUUGCCACGUCAUGCUAUAAUGAAUUUUAUUGAUUGGUGGAGUAUAUAUUAAUUAUUCACUGCAGAGGGGGUUCCGUGGACCAGCCUAUUAGAGGGGCACGGCAAACUCCAUUAUAUUCUUACCUCGAACGGAGAGGCGCGUAGGGUAUCUCCAGGGGUAAAGCUGAGGGUUCACUUCACGCCAAACCACCACGUGAAGGGGAACUCAGCCAACGCCAAGGAACGGCUGUAUUUUUCUCAAACGAAAAAUAUAUUUUAAGUGUAUACAAAAUUUUAACAGCCUUGGCGGACUCGGUUGGAUGCCCUGCGCAAGGUAUCACCGAGUAUGAGUUUUGGCACGAGCCAAAGUUUUAAGAAAUUCAUAAGGCAAGUUGAUUUCUCGAUUUAUAUGGAUUGAUUUUAUUUGGUUGAAAUGAACUGAAAGGUAAUGAAAUUACAGUAUGAUGACUUAUUUUAAUUGUCUCCAUUUACUCGACUUUAGAUAGUUUAGAUGGUAUCUAUUUACUCACUAGGAUUUUAUAAUCUCACCAGCCUCAUUUCCUCACAUUUCAGGCUCGGGGAAUUCCAUAGUUAGCUAACUUUGACAAGGACUUUCAUUUCGACUCGAAU
Molecule: long non-coding RNA, 1747 nt
Filed under: Theobroma cacao (cacao)
Lineage: Eukaryota; Viridiplantae; Streptophyta; Magnoliopsida; Malvales; Malvaceae
Description: long non-coding RNA (TCAC_LNC006198)
Source: RNAcentral